Molecule: ribosomal RNA, 499 nt
Filed under: uncultured bacterium
Lineage: Bacteria
Description: partial 16S ribosomal RNA
Rfam family: Bacterial small subunit ribosomal RNA
Source: RNAcentral
GGCGAACGCUGGCGGCGUGCCUAAUACAUGCAAGUCGAGCGAAGUUUUUCUGGUGCUUGCACCGGAAAAACUUAGCGGCGAACGGGUGAGUAACACGUAAAGAACCUGCCUCAUAGACUGGGACAACUAUUGGAAACGAUAGCUAAUACCGGAUAAUAGCAUUAACUGCAUGGUUGAUGUUUAAAAGUUGGUUUUGCUAACACUAUGAGAUGGCUUUGCGGUGCAUUAGCUAGUUGGUGGGGUAAAGGCCUACCAAGGCGACGAUGCAUAGCCGACCUGAGAGGGUGAUCGGCCACACUGGGACUGAGACACGGCCCAGACUCCUACGGGAGGCAGCAGUAGGGAAUCUUCCGCAAUGGGCGAAAGCCUGACGGAGCAACGCCGCGUGAGUGAAGAAGGAUUUCGGUUCGUAAAGCUCUGUUGUUAGGGAAGAAGGAUUGUGUAGUAACUAUACACAGUAGAGACGGUACCUAACCAGAAAGCCACGGCUAACUACGUG